This 1193-nucleotide ribosomal RNA is filed under the name Clostridium perfringens. RNAcentral describes it as "partial 23S ribosomal RNA". It matches the Rfam family "Bacterial large subunit ribosomal RNA", at positions 303 to 1496 of the family's 2925-position model. The record is from RNAcentral. Lineage: Bacteria; Bacillati; Bacillota; Clostridia; Eubacteriales; Clostridiaceae.
GGACAUAACAUAAAAGUGGAGGCUAUUGUAACUGAAGAGAACUGGAAAGUUCCACCGUAGAAGGUAAUAGUCCUGUAAGUGAAACGAGAAGACCACGAGUUAUGAUCCAGAGUACCACGAGACACGUGAAACCUUGUGGGAAGCAGGGAGGACCACCUCCCAAGGCUAAAUACUACCUGAUGACCGAUAGUGAAGCAGUACCGUGAGGGAAAGGUGAAAAGAACCCCGGGAGGGGAGUGAAAUAGAACCUGAAACCGUGUGCCUACAACCGCUCAGAGCCCCUUAUGAGGGUGAUGAGGUGCUUUUUGUAGAACGAGCCAACGAGUUACGGUAUGUAGCAAGGUUAAGUACUUAAGGUACGGAGCCGAAGGGAAACCGAGUCUGAAUAGGGCGACUAGUUGCAUGCCGUAGACCCGAAACCGGGUGACCUAUCCAUGGCCAGGUUGAAGCGAGGGUAAAACCUCGUGGAGGACCGAACCACGUUGCUGUUGAAAAAGCAUGGGAUGAGCUGUGGAUAGCGGAGAAAUUCCAAUCGAACCCGGAGAUAGCUGGUUCUCUCCGAAAUAGCUUUAGGGCUAGCGUCGAGUAUGAGUAGUGGAGGUAGAGCACUGAAUGGGCUAGGGGGCAUAGCGCUUACCGAACCUUAUCAAACUCCGAAUGCCACAUACUUUGAGCUCGGCAGUCAGACUACGAAUGAUAAGAUCCGUGGUCAAAAGGGAAACAGCCCAGAUCGUCAGCUAAGGUCCCAAAGUGUAAGUUAAGUGGGAAAGGAUGUGAGAUUUCUAAGACAACUAGGAUGUUGGCUUAGAAGCAGCCAUUCAUUAAAAGAGUGCGUAAUAGCUCACUAGUCGAGAGAUCUUGCGCCGAAAAUGUAACGGGGCUAAACUUACCACCGAAGCUACGGGCUUGAACUUAGUUCAAGCGGUAGGAGAGCGUCGUAACCGGGCUGAAGUCGUACCGUAAGGAGCGGUGGACUGGUUACGAGUGAGAAUGUUGGCAUCAGUAGCGAGAUGUGGGUGAGAAUCCCACAGGCCGAAAACCUAAGGUUUCCUCAGGAAGGUUCGUCCGCUGAGGGUUAGUCGGGACCUAAGCCGAGGCCGAAAGGCGUAGGUGAUGGACAACUGGUUGAUAUUCCAGUACCACUACCAUCGUUAUUAUCGAUGGCGUGACGCAGGAGGAUAGUGUGUGCUAGC